This 547-nucleotide ribosomal RNA is filed under the name uncultured bacterium. RNAcentral describes it as "bacterial SSU rRNA". It matches the Rfam family "Bacterial small subunit ribosomal RNA", at positions 355 to 896 of the family's 1533-position model. The record is from RNAcentral.
UGGGGAAUAUUGCGCAAUGGGGGGAACCCUGACGCAGCCACGCCGCGUGAAUGAAGAAGGCCUUAGGGUUGUAAAGUUCUUUCGGUAUUGAGGAAGGUUGAUGUGUUAAUAGCACAUCAAAUUGACGUUAAAUACAGAAGAAGCACCGGCUAACUCCGUGCCAGCAGCCGCGGUAAUACGGAGGGUGCGAGCGUUAAUCGGAAUAACUGGGCGUAAAGGGCACGCAGGCGGUUAUUUAAGUGAGGUGUGAAAGCCCCGGGCUUAACCUGGGAAUUGCAUUUCAGACUGGGUAACUAGAGUACUUUAGGGAGGGGUAGAAUUCCACGUGUAGCGGUGAAAUGCGUAGAGAUGUGGAGGAAUACCGAAGGCGAAGGCAGCCCCUUGGGAAUGUACUGACGCUCAUGUGCGAAAGCGUGGGGAGCAAACAGGAUUAGAUACCCUGGUAGUCCACGCUGUAAACGCUGUCGAUUUGGGGGUUGGGGUUUAACUCUGGCGCCCGUAGCUAACGUGAUAAAUCGACCGCCUGGGGAGUACGGCCGCAAGGUUA